CCUCAUGUGAGAUGACCUGCACACAACCAUCUACCUUUGCUUUGUUCAUGAAGGCUUCCCAUUGCUUGAAGCCAACCAGAAGACAGAGGACAAGGCUUCUUGUUGGUUUGAUCCAUGAACCUGGACACAGAACAAGGGGAGGACAGAUGGAGAACAUCCCUGGAGGCCAUCUUGAAGGUCUCCAGCAUCAUUUCGUGUGGAGCCCUAAGGAGUUAAAAGAAAACUUAAAGAAUGGGCUUAUCUGGGGUUGAGAGAAGCAAAUGUUCUGAGAAAUGGGGUCAACUGCAAAAGGCCCGCUAGCUUCUAGUGCUCAGCUCACAGCCCGCCUGCACCCAAGCAUUCUGUUGCAAGUGCUCAGCUCACAGCCCACCUGCACCCAAGCAUCUUAUCUACAAGCUUUCAGCUCACAGCCCAUCUGCACACAAGCAUCUUGUUUGCAAGCACUCAGCUCACUGCCCACCUGCACCCAACCAUCCUGUCUGCAAGCACUCAGCUGAAGGAGCACCACCUUAUAAAACUUUCCCUCCAGCCCCUGACUCUUUUCAGACAGCAGACAACCUUCCUUCUGCUGUCUUACCCAUUGCAUCCUUGCAAUGCAUGUCCUCCUUUCUUUAAUACAUCUGCCUUUUAAAACUCACUCUUGUCUUGGUAAAUUCCUUUACCCCUUGCAUGCAGGCCUCAAACAGUUGUUGACCAUGACAUCUCUCACUAAGACAGAGUUGCCAGGGUGGCACCAGGCCUCCCCUCCCAGUACAAUGCCGGGCAGAAAG
Molecule: long non-coding RNA, 770 nt
Filed under: Homo sapiens (human)
Lineage: Eukaryota; Metazoa; Chordata; Mammalia; Primates; Hominidae
Description: HSALNT0256285
Source: RNAcentral